This 71-nucleotide transfer RNA is filed under the name Streptomyces marianii. RNAcentral describes it as "Streptomyces sp. ICN19 tRNA-Asp". It matches the Rfam family "tRNA". From Rfam's summary of the family: Transfer RNA (tRNA) molecules are approximately 80 nucleotides in length. Their secondary structure includes four short double-helical elements and three loops (D, anti-codon, and T loops). Lineage: Bacteria; Bacillati; Actinomycetota; Actinomycetes; Kitasatosporales; Streptomycetaceae. The record is from RNAcentral.
GCUCUUGUCGUCCAUGGGUAGGGCACCGGGUUGUCAGUCCGGGUAACGGGGUUCGAGUCCCCGCAGGAGCG